Molecule: ribosomal RNA, 738 nt
Filed under: uncultured bacterium
Lineage: Bacteria
Description: bacterial SSU rRNA
Rfam family: Bacterial small subunit ribosomal RNA
Source: RNAcentral
GCGGCAGGCCUAAUACAUGCAAGUCGAACGGCAGCACAGUGGAGCUUGCUCCAUGGGUGGCGAGUGGCGGACGGGUGAGGAAUACAUGGGAAUCUGCCCAGUCGUGGGGGAUAACGUAGGGAAACUUACGCUAAUACCGCAUGCGCCCUUCGGGGGAAAGCCGGGGACCUUCGGGCCUGGCGCGAUUGGAUGAGCCCAUGUCGGAUUAGCUAGUUGGCGGGGUAACGGCCCACCAAGGCGACGAUCCGUAGCUGGUCUGAGAGGAUGAUCAGCCACACUGGAACUGUGACACGGUCCAGACUCCUACGGGAGGCAGCAGUAGGGAAUAUUGGACAAUGGGCGCAAGCCUGAUCCAGCCAUGCCGCGUGAGUGAAGAAGGCCCUCGGGUUGUAAAGCUCUUUUGUCCGGAAAGAAAAGCAUCCAGUUAAUACCUGGGUGUCCUGACGGUACCGGAAGAAUAAGCACCGGCUAACUUCGUGCCAGCAGCCGCGGUAAUACGAAGGGUGCAAGCGUUACUCGGAAUUACUGGGCGUAAAGCGUGCGUAGGUGGUUUGUUAAGUCUGAUGUGAAAGCCCUGGGCUCAACCUGGGAAUGGCAUUGGAUACUGGCAGGCUAGAGUGCGGUAGAGGGUAGUGGAAUUCCCGGUGUAGCAGUGAAAUGCGUAGAGAUCGGGAGGAACAUCUGUGGCGAAGGCGACUACCUGGACCAGCCCUGACUCUGAGGCCCGAAAGCGUGGGG